GUUGUAUGGUUAAGUGACUAAGCGUACACGGUGGAUGCCUUGGCAGUCAGAGGCGAUGAAAGGCGUAAUAACUUGCGAUAAGCCCAGAUUAGGUAGUAAUAACCUUUUGAGUCUGGGAUUCCUGAAUGGGGAAACCCACUUACAUAAGUAAGUAUCCUGUUGUGAAUACAUAGCAACAGGAGGCAAACCGGGGGAACUGAAACAUCUAAGUACCCCGAGGAAGAGAAAUCAACCGAGAUUCCGAAAGUAGCGGCGAGCGAAAUUGGAUUAGCCCUUAAGCUUUUAAUGAGACAGAUGAAGGCUCUGGAAAGUGCCGCAAUAAAGGGUGAUAGCCCCGUAAUCGACAUCUCAUAAUCAGUGAAAACGAGUAGGGCGGGACACGUGAUAUCCUGUCUGAAUAUGGGGGGACCAUCCUCCAAGGCUAAAUACUACUGACUGACCGAUAGUGAACCAGUACCGUGAGGGAAAGGCGAAAAGAACCCCUGUGAGGGGAGUGAAAUAGAACCUGAAACCGUGUACGUCCCUCGCCGGAAGACCAAGGGUUCCUGUCCAACGUUAAUCGGGGCAGGGUAAGUCGACUCCUAAGGCGAGGCCGAAAGGCGUAGUCGAUGGGAAACGGGUUAAUAUUCCCGUACUUCUUACAAUUGCGAUGGGGGGACGGAGAAGGCUAGGUGGGCCUGGCGACGGUUGUCCAGGUUCAAGUACGUAGGCGGAAAGUUUAGGUAAAUCCGGACUUUCUUAACGCUGAGAUACGAUGUCGAGCUACUACGGUAGUGAAGUCAUUGAUGCCAUGCUUCCAGGAAAAGCCUCUAAGCUUCAGAUUGUAAGGAAUCGUACCCCAAACCGACACAGGUGGUCGGGUAGAGAAUACCAAGGCGCUUGAGAGAACUCGGGUGAAGGAACUAGGCAAAAUGGUACCGUAACUUCGGGAGAAGGUACGCUCUUAUCAGUGAAGUCCCUUGCGGAUGGAGCAGACGAGAGUCGCAGAUACCAGGUGGCUGCAACUGUUUAUUAAAAACACAGCACUGUGCAAAAUCGUAAGAUGACGUAUACGGUGUGACGCCUGCCCGGUGCCGGAAGGUUAAUUGAUGGGGUUAGACUUCGGUCGAAGCUCUUGAUCGAAGCCCCGGUAAACGGCGGCCGUAACUAUAACGGUCCUAAGGUAGCGAAAUUCCUUGUCGGGUAAGUUCCGACCUGCACGAAUGGCGUAAUGAUGGCCACGCUGUCUCCACCCGAGACUCAGUGAAAUUGAAAUCGCUGUGAAGAUGCAGUGUACCCGCGGCUAGACGGAAAGACCCCGUGAACCUUUACUACAGCUUGGCACUGAACAUUGAACCUACAUGUGUAGGAUAGGUGGGAGACUAUGAAAUUGCGUCGCUAGAUGUGAUGGAGUCGUCCUUGAAAUACCACCCUUGUAGUUUUGAUGUUCUAACGUUGGUCCCUGAAUCGGGAUUACGGACAGUGCCUGGUGGGUAGUUUGACUGGGGCGGUCUCCUCCCAAAGAGUAACGGAGGAGCACGAAGGUGGGCUAAACACGGUUGGACAUCGUGUGGUUAGUGCAAUGGCAUAAGCCCGCUUGACUGCGAGAAUGACAAUUCGAGCAGGUGCGAAAGCAGGUCAUAGUGAUCCGGUGGUUCUGAAUGGAAGGGCCAUCGCUCAACGGAUAAAAGGUACUCCGGGGAUAACAGGCUGAUACCGCCCAAGAGUUCAUAUCGACGGCGGUGUUUGGCACCUCGAUGUCGGCUCAUCACAUCCUGGGGCUGAAGUCGGUCCCAAGGGUAUGGCUGUUCGCCAUUUAAAGUGGUACGCGAGCUGGGUUUAGAACGUCGUGAGACAGUUCGGUCCCUAUCUGCCGUGGGCGUUGGAAAAUUGAAAGGGGCUGCUCCUAGUACGAGAGGACCGGAGUGGACGAACCUCUGGUGUUCGGGUUGUCAUGCCAAUGGCAUUGCCCGGUAGCUAAGUUCGGAAUCGAUAACCGCUGAAAGCAUCUAAGCGGGAAGCGAGCCUUGAGAUGAGUUUUCCCUGGCACUAUAAGUGUCCUAAAGGGUUGUCGUAGACUACGACGUUGAUAGGCAGGGUGUGUAAGUGCUGCGAGGCAUUGAGCUAACCUGUACUAAUUGCCCGUGAGGCUUAACCAUACAACACCCAAGGGGUUU
RNAcentral lists this ribosomal RNA (2156 nucleotides) under Vibrio splendidus. Its description in RNAcentral is "bacterial LSU rRNA". It matches the Rfam family "Bacterial large subunit ribosomal RNA". Lineage: Bacteria; Pseudomonadati; Pseudomonadota; Gammaproteobacteria; Vibrionales; Vibrionaceae. The record is from RNAcentral.